UACGAAGGGUGCAAGCGUUACUCGGAAUUACUGGGCGUAAAGCGUGCGCAGACGGUUGCGUAAGUCAGAUGUGAAAGCCCCGGGCUCAACCUGGGAAUGGCGAUGGAUACUGGCUCGCUAGAGUGCGGUAGAGGAGAGUGGAAUUCCCGGUGUAGCAGUGAAAUGCGUAGAGAUCGGGAGGAACAUCAGUUGCGAAGGCGGCUCUCUGGACCAGCACUGACACUGAGGCACGAAAGCGUGGG
RNAcentral lists this ribosomal RNA (242 nucleotides) under uncultured bacterium. RNAcentral describes it as "partial 16S ribosomal RNA". It matches the Rfam family "Bacterial small subunit ribosomal RNA", at positions 524 to 765 of the family's 1533-position model. The record is from RNAcentral.